RNAcentral lists this ribosomal RNA (254 nucleotides) under uncultured bacterium. RNAcentral's name for it is "partial 16S ribosomal RNA". It matches the Rfam family "Bacterial small subunit ribosomal RNA", at positions 524 to 776 of the family's 1533-position model. The record is from RNAcentral.
UACGGGGGGAGCAAGCGUUGUUCGGAUUUACUGGGCGUAAAGGGCGCGUAGGCGGUCAGCACAAGUCAGUUGUGAAAUCUCCGGGCUUAACUCGGAAAGGUCAACUGAUACUGUGCGACUAGAGUGCAGAAGGGGCAACUGGAAUUCUCGGUGUAGCGGUGAAAUGCGCAGAUAUCGGGAAGAACACCCGUGGCGAAGGCGGUUCUCUGGGACGGUACUGACGCUGAGACGCGAAAGCGUGGGGAGCGAACAGG